UAAACUAAUCAUAGUUAAUAAAAUGCGCAAGAAUCUCAAGCAAGAAAAUCUAAUACAUCAAAUUUUUUUUUUUUUUUUUCAAUUAUGUACUUUAUUUAUUUUAACCUAAUUUUUCUAUAUUUAAUUUAAUACUCAAAGGUCAUUGAACAAACGAAAUCAAAGUGAAUCAAAGAAGCUGAAAAAUUUAUUGAAUUUGGCAGUACGACGACAACCACGCCGGACCACAAUACGUACAAUACAGAACAUAAAAUGAGAGAAGAAAGAAGAAGAAGCAUAGCAGAACUUUUACGUUGGUUAACGAUGAGGCGAGCCUUCAAUUUGAUCGGAUGAUAGCUUCGUAACCCGGACAACAGACAGCGACAAAUGGCAAGCGAACAUUUUACAGACCCGUAAUCAUAAAUCACACAAAAUCCGUACGGUAUGAGAUGGUGCAAAAGAGACGGAUGGAGCAUGCAGCAUCAGUUAGAAGUAUGGCGAGUGGUCCUUCCUAAUGGCCAUGUCCUGCUGUUGGGCAUUUUAAAUAUAAGUGCCAUUCGUAUCGAUGGCUAUCUAAUGAGCUCCAACAACAGCAACAAUCACACAAGGAGCUGCCCAUCAAGUUCAUUGACCGUUAAAUUGAAAAUCAAAAAUCAUCCCAAUGACUCAUCGAAAGCAGCUUGGAAUAUUAUUAUGCCAUAAUGAGCUUUUUUUUCAGUGUUUUCCCAAGUUUUGAGCAAGUCGUUCAAAUUUGUUAAUUGAUUUUGAAGCGCAGUCCAUUAAAAGUUAUAUCUAAUUUA
Molecule: long non-coding RNA, 776 nt
Organism: Drosophila mojavensis
Lineage: Eukaryota; Metazoa; Arthropoda; Insecta; Diptera; Drosophilidae
Exons: 2
Source: RefSeq, a predicted model, not a curated record